GGAUCCAGACUUUGAUUAUGGCUCAGGACGAACGCUGGCGGCGCGCCUAACACAUGCAAGUCGAACGGAGAUUACAGGCGGAAGUUUUCGGAUGGAAGCUUGUAAACUUAGUGGCGGACGGGUGAGUAACACGUGAGCAACCUGCCUAUCAGAGGGGGAUAACGAUUGGAAACGAUCGCUAAUACCGCAUGACAUAGCGAAACCGCAUGGUUUUGCUAUCAAAGAUUUUAUCGCUGAUAGAUGGGCUCGCGUCCGAUUAGAUAGUUGGUGGGGUAACGGCCUACCAAGUCGACGAUCGGUAGCCGGACUGAGAGGUCGAACGGCCACAUUGGGACUGAGACACGGCCCAGACUCCUACGGGAGGCAGCAGUGGGGGAUAUUGCACAAUGGGGGAAACCCUGAUGCAGCGACGCCGCGUGAGGGAAGACGGUCCUCUGGAUUGUAAACCUCUGUCUUCGGGGACGAAACGAGACGGUACCCGAGGAGGAAGCCACGGCUAACUACGUGCCAGCAGCCGCGGUAAUACGUAGGUGGCAAGCGUUGUCCGGAAUUACUGGGUGUAAAGGGAGCGUAGGCGGGCAGGCAAGUCAGGCGUGAAAUAUAUCGGCUCAACCGGUAACGGCGCUUGAAACUGCAGGUCUUGAGUGAAGUAGAGGUUGGCGGAAUUCCUAGUGUAGCGGUGAAAUGCGUAGAUAUUAGGAGGAACACCAGUGGCGAAGGCGGCCAACUGGGCUUUUACUGACGCUGAGGCUCGAAAGUGUGGGGAGCAAACAGGAUUAGAUACCCUGGUAGUCCACACCGUAAACGAUGAUUACUAGGUGUGGGGGGACUGACCCCUUCCGUGCCGGAGUUAACACAAUAAGUAAUCCACCUGGGGAGUACGGCCGCAAGGUUGCAA
Molecule: ribosomal RNA, 898 nt
Filed under: uncultured Bacillota bacterium
Lineage: Bacteria; Bacillati; Bacillota
Description: bacterial SSU rRNA
Rfam family: Bacterial small subunit ribosomal RNA
Source: RNAcentral